UGGCCUGUGUUGGCCUCUGCUGUUCCCGAGUAAAGCCAGUCUUGCUGGGGAAAUAACUGGCAGUUUUAUUUUUGAAGUUAACGCCCAGGCGGGGCAGCUCGGGAGUGCGCGAGAAGGGGCUGGGCUGAGGUCCUCCCAGUUCUGGCCAAGGGGACCUGAAGGACACCUGCUGGUGGGGGCAGGUGGUGUCCGCGGAAGUCUUCUUCACCCAGGGAAGGCGGCCGGUAGGAGGCGGUCCAAGCUCUUGCCCCGGCUGGGUGAUUUCGUGAUGCCUUCCCAGAGGAGCUGCUGCAAAGGCCUGCCCUGUGACCGGAUGCGCUCCGCACCCCUGCAGCCUUGUGACCUCCGACCCCUGUGGGCGAGGCACCUGCACUGAAGCCACUUCGGGCAGAGAUUCCGUCACAGGAAGCCGAAGUCACCCUCGCGGGUCCGUUUCGGAACAACCUAAAUAUCUCACCCGAGUAUGUCCCGUGCCUCCCCUCCCGUGGAGCCACGCACCCGUCCCACGGGGACCGGGUUUUGGCUUCCGCGGCCGCUGUGUUCCUGUGACUCCGGGCUGGGAAGAAGGGCCUCGUGGGAUUUCUGAAGGGGUCGGGAGGUGAUGCAGCAGCGCCUUGGCCGAUGUGGAGGCCACAUGUGAUGCCCGGAUCCCUCCGCGGCACCUCCAGGAUGGAAACCUCCGGAAAGCCAGGGAGCAGAAAGGGGGACACAAAGCCCUAAUCUUGUGGAGAAUCCGGGCUUGUUUACAUGAGAGAAUUUCAUUUUCCUUUUUCCCAGUCCCUACGGUGGCAUUUUGUUCGUAGCGGAUUCACCGAUCCCCACCUGAUCGGGGGUACACGCCGGCUGCACAGCUGCCCUGGGAAGGGGUCCCGGACACUUGUACCCCCCGCCCCCCACAGCUGCCGACCUAGGAGUGGGGCCCCUCACCUGCCCACGCUGACCCCUUCUCCGGCUCCCUCCGCGUCGACUGCGCAGACUCCCCACCUCCCAGAGCUGGUCGGUGUCCUCAGGCCCCGGGGCCUCUGCCCGUGCCCCUCCGUCCCGGAGUGUCGGCUGCCGGGCGUCGCUUCCUCCGGGGUGCCCUCCCGCCCGCUAGCCGAGACCCCCUGACUUCACUGUCCCCCACGGUUGCCGUCGCGUCUGGGCCCGGUCGCCCUUCCCCAUGACGCUGAGCUGCCCGAAGCGAGCGGCCGCGUUCGUGCUCCCGCCACCGGCAGCGCCCAGCAGAGGCCCUUUCCGCCGUGUGAUCUCAGGCGGGCGCCGCGGCCACCACCAAAGCGGGGGAGACGGGACAUGCAGCUGGCAGAGCCGCAGGGGACCCUCCUGAAGAGCACGGAGAACGCUCGGGCCCCUGCCGGCGCGUGGCCUCCUCACUGUCACAGCCCCGAGGCGGGUACACCAGUAACACCGGACUCUCUCCGCCUCUGUCCUCCCCGGCGGCUGGAGGACGUUCUCCCGCUUGGGACGUUCUCGGAGGUGGCGGGUGACAGAGCUUGCGGGUGGUGCCCCAGGCCGUCCGGUGUCCAGCGGGGGCUCGGGACGCGCCCCCCUGGCCGCCCCCCUCCCUGGCCGCUGGCUGGAGAAGGCCUUCCCCCCCCCCCCCCCCGGAGAGGAACGGGUGGGGGUCCUGUGCGGCUGGAGCCCACCGCCUAAGAAGCUGCUAGAGACCGGAGUUUCACGGCCCGCAAAUGAACGCCGAUCCCGCCGACCACAGGCUUCCGACCGAUGCUGGCCGCGGCGUGAGAGCGGUGUUCCCACGUGCUGGGGGCCGGACCGCUGUGGCCGGCCACGUGGCCAUCCAGGGGACACCUGGUCCCCGCACGCACGGAUUCUGGCAGAUUAUCCACAUGCUCUCUGAAAGGUCGAGAAAGGGGCAGUCGGACAGAAGGAAACCGAAUCCGGGCCCACGAAACCGUGCGUGCCAAGGAAAAGUGAGAAUUUCCAGCAAGAAGAGGAGGGGAGACCGUAGCCCCGCGCAUACCUUCAUUUAGACUUCUAGCCUCCAAACGAGCGAGGACCCAUUCUGUUGCUUCGAGCCAUCUAGUCUGUGGUACUUUGUUUACAGUGGCCUUAGUAAACAAAUACAUGUAUAACCCUAAUUUAAAAUUAAAAAAAAAAUAGCGUGCACUAGA
Herpailurus yagouaroundi (jaguarundi) is the source of this 2132-nucleotide long non-coding RNA. RefSeq lists it as uncharacterized. The transcript is spliced from 3 exons. NCBI's taxonomy places the organism in Eukaryota, Metazoa, Chordata, Mammalia, Carnivora, Felidae. The record is from RefSeq and is a predicted model, not a curated record.